CCUACGGGAGGCAGCAGUGGGGAAUAUUGCACAAUGGGCGAAAGCCUGACGCAGCAACGCCGCGUGCGGGAUGACGGCCUUCGGGUUGUAAACCGCUUUUCGGGGGGAAGAGGAAGGACGGUACCCCCGGAAGAAGUCUCGGCUAACUACGUGCCAGCAGCCGCGGUAAU
This 170-nucleotide ribosomal RNA is filed under the name uncultured bacterium. Its description in RNAcentral is "partial 16S ribosomal RNA". It matches the Rfam family "Bacterial small subunit ribosomal RNA", at positions 338 to 524 of the family's 1533-position model. The record is from RNAcentral.